GGCUCAGGAUGAACGCUAGCUACAGGCUUAACACAUGCAAGUCGAGGGGCAUCAGGAAGAAAGCUUGCUUUCUUUGCUGGCGACCGGCGCACGGGUGAGUAACACGUAUCCAACCUGCCCUUUACUCGGGGAUAGCCUUUCGAAAGAAAGAUUAAUACCCGAUAGCAUAAUGAUUCCGCAUGGUUUCAUUAUUAAAGGAUUCCGGUAAAGGAUGGGGAUGCGUUCCAUUAGGUUGUUGGUGAGGUAACGGCCCACCAAGCCUUCGAUGGAUAGGGGUUCUGAGAGGAAGGUCCCCCACAUUGGAACUGAGACACGGUCCAAACUCCUACGGGAGGCAGCAGUGAGGAAUAUUGGUCAAUGGGCGCUAGCCUGAACCAGCCAAGUAGCGUGAAGGAUGAAGGCUCUAUGGGUCGUAAACUUCUUUUAUAUAAGAAUAAAGUGCAGUAUGUAUACUGUUUUGUAUGUAUUAUAUGAAUAAGGAUCGGCUAACUCCGUGCCAGCAGCCGCGGUAAUACGGAGGAUCCGAGCGUUAUCCGGAUUUAUUGGGUUUAAAGGGAGCGUAGGUGGACUGGUAAGUCAGUUGUGAAAGUUUGCGGCUCAACCGUAAAAUUGCAGUUGAUACUGUCAGUCUUGAGUACAGUAGAGGUGGGCGGAAUUCGUGGUGUAGCGGUGAAAUGCUUAGAUAUCACGAAGAACUCCGAUUGCGAAGGCAGCUCACUGGACUGCAACUGACACUGAUGCUCGAAAGUGUGGGUAUCAAACAGGAUUAGAUACCCUGGUAGUCCACACAGUAAACGAUGAAUACUCGCUGUUUGCGAUAUACAGUAAGCGGCCAAGCGAAAGCAUUAAGUAUUCCACCUGGGGAGUACGCCGGCAACGGUGAAACUCAAAGGAAUUGACGGGGGCCCGCACAAGCGGAGGAACAUGUGGUUUAAUUCGAUGAUACGCGAGGAACCUUACCCGGGCUUAAAUUGCAGUGGAAUGAUGUGGAAACAUGUCAGUGAGCAAUCACCGCUGUGAAGGUGCUGCAUGGUUGUCGUCAGCUCGUGCCGUGAGGUGUCGGCUUAAGUGCCAUAACGAGCGCAACCCUUAUCUUUAGUUACUAACAGGUUAUGCUGAGGACUCUGGAGAGACUGCCGUCGUAAGAUGUGAGGAAGGUGGGGAUGACGUCAAAUCAGCACGGCCCUUACGUCCGGGGCUACACACGUGUUACAAUGGGGGGUACAGAAGGCAGCUAGCGGGUGACCGUAUGCUAAUCCCAAAAGCCUCUCUCAGUUCGGAUCGAAGUCUGCAACCCGACUUCGUGAAGCUGGAUUCGCUAGUAAUCGCGCAUCAGCCACGGCGCGGUGAAUACGUUCCCGGGCCUUGUACACACCGCCUGUCAAGCCAUGGGAGCCGGGGGUACCUGAAGUACGUAACCGCAAGGAUCGUCCUAGGGUA
RNAcentral lists this ribosomal RNA (1440 nucleotides) under uncultured organism. RNAcentral's name for it is "16S ribosomal RNA". It matches the Rfam family "Bacterial small subunit ribosomal RNA". The record is from RNAcentral.